This 503-nucleotide long non-coding RNA is filed under the name Daucus carota (carrot). RNAcentral describes it as "long non-coding RNA (DCAR_LNC002348)". The record is from RNAcentral. Lineage: Eukaryota; Viridiplantae; Streptophyta; Magnoliopsida; Apiales; Apiaceae.
AAAUGCAGAACUUUCCCUAUAAGAACCCUUCACAUUCUUCUCCAACCUCACAGGCCACAGCAGCCCAAAUUUGGAUACUAACACAAACACAAACAUAAUAAACUGUACCAACAUUCACAUUCUUAUACAUCUCACAAUGUCUUCAAUGGGUGCUAGCUAUGCUCUUCUUAACGUUCAACGAAAGCGUCUCCAAGAGAAACUGCACAAGGAGAAAAAUAUAUCUGAAAAGGAUGGAGCGGCAGAUAAAAGUGUUGCCAGUGCUCAAAAAUCCGAGGGUAAAAGCAAGAUUCAUCCCUCAAAUGUCUCGGAUUCUACAAAAUGAACAUGGAAUCGUCAGGGCUUGCCUUAUUGCAUGUCUACUUAAUAUAAUUCUACAUGUGAAGUUUGUAUGUGCACUCUCUUAUGUUUAAGUGUGUAAAUCUUUGCUCUCCAGCUGCCCACAGUUUCUUCGACACUUGUACGUUCAAUUUGAUUUAAUGAAAAUCAAAGUGUUUUUUUUUUCA